RNAcentral lists this non-coding RNA (114 nucleotides) under Gordonia hirsuta. RNAcentral's name for it is "SAM-IV sequence". It matches the Rfam family "SAM (S-adenosyl methionine) riboswitch aptamer". From Rfam's summary of the family: SAM-IV is a mRNA element that regulates gene expression via direct sensing of S-adenosylmethionine (SAM or AdoMet). SAM-IV riboswitches share conserved nucleotide positions with the previously described SAM-I riboswitches sequence analysis and molecular recognition experiments suggest that SAM-I and SAM-IV riboswitches share similar ligand binding sites, but have different scaffolds. Lineage: Bacteria; Bacillati; Actinomycetota; Actinomycetes; Mycobacteriales; Gordoniaceae. RNAcentral also lists the same sequence under 1 other name. The record is from RNAcentral.
GGUCACGAGAACCAGCGGAAAGCCCCGGCUAGCUGGUCGGCAACCCUCCGUCGCGGUGGGGUGCUCCGGGUGACGACCUGGCCGCCGGCCGACCGGUCGCGGCAAGCGCGAUAC